This is a long non-coding RNA of Acipenser ruthenus (sterlet), 584 nucleotides long. RefSeq lists it as uncharacterized. Lineage: Eukaryota; Metazoa; Chordata; Actinopteri; Acipenseriformes; Acipenseridae. The record is from RefSeq and is a predicted model, not a curated record. The transcript is spliced from 4 exons.
GCCUGGAGGUGGCUGGGAAGAAUCUUUAUGACUGUGUGUUGAACGAGGAUACCUGCACGUAACAGAACACCCUUGUUACACUAGGUGAAAUGGAGCUGUCUGGUUUCUAUGAGGGUCCUGCCAGGAGUCUUGCAGCUAAAUCUACUGUGGUAGCAACGAUCAAAUGUAAACAUUCAAGCAUUUACAUGCAAUUACAUGACUCUGCAAUUAUGUUCUCUCACCGCAGCAAUUCCCCACACAACUCAGGAGACCUGAAGGUCAGUGGGCAUCCUCCGAUACCACGACCAAGCCAACUGCCUCUUUUACAUCCAGAAAUUUGAGAGUGGAUUUCGGUGAGCUACCAGGUGCCUGGCCAGUCGUCAGCUGUAGCUCGCUGACGAGAAAGGACAAAUAGCCAAGCCCAUGCUCCCUCUGGAAUCCCCAGUGAAGACUGGUGAUUCAGCCGGGACUUGAACCUGCGCUCCCCUGACUGUAUGACUCGCUCUUCACACCAUCUGGCCCUUUUACCAGAUGACCCACUUGGGGUUCCCUGAAUAUACAUGUUCUACUUGAUGUAUACAAUAUUCUGUAUAUUUAUUGUUAAA